GAAAUUCCACCACCCUCUACCAUACUCUAGCUUGUCAGUUUUGAAUGCAGUUCCCAGGUUGAGCCCGGGGCUUUCACAUCCAACUUAACAAACCACCUACGCGCGCUUUACGCCCAGUAAUUCCGAUUAACGCUUGCACCCUCUGUAUUACCGCGGCUGCUGGCACAGAGUUAGCCGGUGCUUAUUCUGUCGGUAACGUCAAAACAGCAACGUAUUAAGUUACUGCCCUUCCUCCCAACUUAAAGUGCUUUACAAUCCGAAGACCUUCUUCACACACGCGGCAUGGCUGGAUCAGGCUUUCGCCCAUUGUCCAAUAUUCCCCACUGCUGCCUCCCGUAGGAGUCUGGACCGUGUCUCAGUUCCAGUGUGACUGAUCAUCCUCUCAGACCAGUUACGGAUCGUCGCCUUGGUGAGCCAUUACCUCACCAACUAGCUAAUCCGACCUAGGCUCAUCUGAUAGCGCAAGGCCCGAAGGUCCCCUGCUUUCUCCCGUAGGACGUAUGCGGUAUUAGCGUCCCUUUCGAGACGUUGUCCCCCACUACCAGGCAGAUUCCUAGGCAUUACUCACCCGUCCGCCGCUGAAUCAGAGAGCAAGCUCUCUUCAUCCGCUCGACUUGCAUGUGUUAGGCCUGCCGCCAGCGUUCAAU
RNAcentral lists this ribosomal RNA (647 nucleotides) under Pseudomonas mohnii. Its description in RNAcentral is "partial 16S rRNA". The record is from RNAcentral. Lineage: Bacteria; Pseudomonadati; Pseudomonadota; Gammaproteobacteria; Pseudomonadales; Pseudomonadaceae.